This 385-nucleotide ribosomal RNA is filed under the name uncultured bacterium. RNAcentral's name for it is "bacterial SSU rRNA". It matches the Rfam family "Bacterial small subunit ribosomal RNA", at positions 30 to 414 of the family's 1533-position model. The record is from RNAcentral.
AUUGAACGCUGGCGGCAGGCCUAACACAUGCAAGUCGAGCGGUAGAGAGGUGCUUGCAUCUCUUGAGAGCGGCGGACGGGUGAGUAAUGCCUAGGAAUCUGCCUAGUGGUGGGGGAUAACGUUCGGAAACGGACGCUAAUACCGCAUACGUCCUACGGGAGAAAGCGGGGGAUCUUCGGACCUCGCGCCAUUAGAUGAGCCUAGGUCGGAUUAGCUAGUUGGUGAGGUAAUGGCUCACCAAGGCGACGAUCCGUAACUGGUCUGAGAGGAUGAUCAGUCACACUGGAACUGAGACACGGUCCAGACUCCUACGGGAGGCAGCAGUGGGGAAUAUUGGACAAAUGGGCGAAAGCCUGAUCCAGCCAUGCCGCGUGUGUGAAGAAGG